GAUGAACGCUGGCGGCGUGCCUAAUACAUGCAAGUCGAGCGAACAGACGAGGAGCUUGCUCCUCUGACGUUAGCGGCGGACGGGUGAGUAACACGUGGAUAACCUACCUAUAAGACUGGGAUAACUUCGGGAAACCGGAGCUAAUACCGGAUAAUAUAUUGAACCGCAUGGUUCAAUAGUGAAAGACGGUUUUGCUGUCACUUAUAGAUGGAUCCGCGCCGCAUUAGCUAGUUGGUAAGGUAACGGCUUACCAAGGCAACGAUGCGUAGCCGACCUGAGAGGGUGAUCGGCCGCCCUGGAACUGGGCCGCGGUCCAGGCUCCUGCGGGAGGCAGCAGUAGGGAAUCUUCCGCAGUGGGCGAAAGCCUGACGGAGCAACGCCGCGUGAGUGAUGACGGUCUUCGGAUCGUAAAACUCUGUUAUUAGGGAAGAACAAAUGUGUAAGUAACUAUGCACGCCUUGACGGUACCUAAUCAGAAAGCCACGGCUAACUACGUG
RNAcentral lists this ribosomal RNA (497 nucleotides) under uncultured bacterium. RNAcentral describes it as "partial 16S ribosomal RNA". It matches the Rfam family "Bacterial small subunit ribosomal RNA", at positions 28 to 507 of the family's 1533-position model. The record is from RNAcentral.